AGAAAACGUGCAAUUUCUUAUUCGAUCUAAUUUAAAAACUGGUUCCCUACUUUUUGCAAGUUUAGGAAUCGUAUGGUGGUGUGCAGAUAGAUAUCUUGAUAGAAGAUAUCGCACUCCGAUAAUAUUAAAGUAUCCCAUCUUGCAAUAUAUGUAUAAAGUUGUGUUUGUACUGUAUUCUGUUUGUUUAUUCAUAUUGUGUAUUGAGAUUUUGAAAUAAAAUUAUGAUAAG
Molecule: long non-coding RNA, 229 nt
Organism: Colias croceus (clouded yellow)
Lineage: Eukaryota; Metazoa; Arthropoda; Insecta; Lepidoptera; Pieridae
Exons: 2
Source: RefSeq, a predicted model, not a curated record